UGAGGAAUAUUGGACAAUGGGCGCAAGCCUGAUCCAGCCAUGCCGCGUGCAGGAAGAAGCAUCUAUGGUGUGUAAACUGCUUUUAUACAGGAAGAAACACUCCCUCGUGAGGGAGCUUGACGGUACUGUAAGAAUAAGGACCGGCUAACUCCGUGCCAGCAGCCGCGGUAAUACGGAGGGUCCAAGCGUUAUCCGGAAUCAUUGGGUUUAAAGGGUCCGUAGGCGGUUUAAUAAGUCAGUGGUGAAAUCUGGUCGCUCAACGAUCAAACGGCCAUUGAUACUGUUAGACUUGAAUUAUUGUGAAGUAACUAGAAUAUGUAGUGUAGCGGUGAAAUGCUUAGAUAUUACAUGGAAUACCAAUUGCGAAGGCAGGUUACUAACAAUAUAUUGACGCUGAUGGACGAAAGCGUGGGGAGCGAACA
RNAcentral lists this ribosomal RNA (422 nucleotides) under uncultured Flavobacteriaceae bacterium. Its description in RNAcentral is "bacterial SSU rRNA". It matches the Rfam family "Bacterial small subunit ribosomal RNA", at positions 355 to 774 of the family's 1533-position model. Lineage: Bacteria; Pseudomonadati; Bacteroidota; Flavobacteriia; Flavobacteriales; Flavobacteriaceae. The record is from RNAcentral.